GUAUACUUAGCUCAAUGGUUAGAGAAUCACUCAUGAAUUCUGAGGUUGUGGGUUCAGGUCCCACAGCAAACA
Molecule: transfer RNA, 72 nt
Filed under: Puccinia sorghi
Lineage: Eukaryota; Fungi; Basidiomycota; Pucciniomycetes; Pucciniales; Pucciniaceae
Rfam family: tRNA
About the family: Transfer RNA (tRNA) molecules are approximately 80 nucleotides in length. Their secondary structure includes four short double-helical elements and three loops (D, anti-codon, and T loops).
Source: Rfam by way of RNAcentral